This 513-nucleotide long non-coding RNA is filed under the name Androctonus crassicauda. The record is from RNAcentral. Lineage: Eukaryota; Metazoa; Arthropoda; Arachnida; Scorpiones; Buthidae.
AAUGCUUUUUCAUUAUAUAUAUAUAUAUAUAUACAAACAAUAUACAUGGUGAUAUGUAAUAUUAAAUUUUAUUGGUAUGGCCAACCAAUCAAACUUAAUAUUACAAAUUACCACGCUCAUAAUUACUUUAAUAAAAAAACUAAUUUAUUAAUAAAAUUAGUUAUUAAUAUUAAUCACAGCCACAAUUCAUAGUGACAAAAAGUAAAAGUUGCCGGGCAUUUUUUUUGUCAACAGAUGACGCCACUUUCCAUUCAGUAAGAGUACUAACUUGUAAAUGUCAGGUCGAAUCAAGCCCUUCCAUGGACUGUCCACCCCUGCGAAGGGGUCAGCCAGAUGGUGGAGGUUGGGGAUCAAUGGACUGAGCUCGGACCCCACGAUAAAUAUUUUCAAGGGGGAGACCCGUGACUCGAAUCCGGAUCCUCUAGAGUGGAAAGCCGAAGAGUUUCCAUGCGGCCAAUCCGGCCGAUUCCUGGCAUUAUUUUAUCUCAUUGAUGAGGAUCGCGUAAUCCAGAG